RNAcentral lists this ribosomal RNA (459 nucleotides) under uncultured ammonia-oxidizing beta proteobacterium. Its description in RNAcentral is "bacterial SSU rRNA". It matches the Rfam family "Bacterial small subunit ribosomal RNA", at positions 190 to 645 of the family's 1533-position model. The record is from RNAcentral. Lineage: Bacteria; Pseudomonadati; Pseudomonadota; Betaproteobacteria.
AAGUAGGGGAUCGUAAGACCUUUUGCUUUUUGAGUGGCCGAUGCCUGAUUAGCUAGUUGGUGGGGUAAUGGCAUACCAAGGCGACGAUCAGUAGAUGGUCUGAGAGGACGACCAGCCACACUGGGACUGAGACACGGCCCAGACUCCUACGGGAGGCAGCAGUGGGGAAUUUUGGACAAUGGGGGAAAGCCUGAUCCAGCAAUGCCGCGUGAGUGAAGAAGGCCUUCGGGUUGUAAAGCUCUUUGGCCGAGAAGAAAAGGUCGCGACUAAUAAUCAACACUCAUGACGGUAUCUACAGAAGAAGCACCGGCUAACUACGUGCCAGCAGCCGCGGUAAUACGUAGGGUGCCAGCGUUAAUCGGAAUUACUGGGCGUAAAGGGUGCGCAGGCGGCUUUGUAAGUCAGAUGUGAAAUCCCCGGGCUUAACCUGGGAAUUGCGUUUGAAACUACAAAGCUUAG